Molecule: long non-coding RNA, 645 nt
Filed under: Homo sapiens (human)
Lineage: Eukaryota; Metazoa; Chordata; Mammalia; Primates; Hominidae
Description: non-protein coding lnc-SGCZ-5:1
Source: RNAcentral
GAGGAAAACAAGUGCCAAAUUCUACAGUCAAAUGAUAUCAUCAUGACAAUUACAAAAUGUGGUCAGUAUAACUUUUUCAUUGAUACUCUCCAAGAAAUGAUCAACACUGCCAUAGAUGAGGAGCAGCUGCACCAAUCUGGGCUUCCCACUGAGUCCAUCCAGUACUAUUUCACCCUGGUUCAGUAGCCCACCCCUGUCCAGGCCCACAGGCAGCAGCAAAACUAGCAGACCACCAGCUCCAUGACCACCAUCCGGCUCAGGCAGAUCUUUACAGUGCAGCCUCAGAAGAGCCAAACAGGGAAGCUGCAGGUUGGGUAAGUUCAGCAGUUCGCACUGUCUAGAUCCAGCCACAGGAGCAAAUCCAGCAGACCCAGAAUGGCCCAGGACAGAACAUGCAGCUGAUGCAAUAGAACAGUACCAACAAAGCAAAGAACCUGCUGAAGCAAGACACCUGCUUAUCCCUGCUGGUAUCAGGCACUCAGACACUUUCUACCAGUGCUCAACAGAACAUACAGACAGAAAUCCAACCAGAACAGCAAUCGUUCAGCCAGCUCCUAGAUGAACGGCAGCUCUCUUGGACCCUGUGAGUGACCAUGAUAGCUGUCCAGGAUGUCAUCCAGUGCAUGUUUAUCCAAUAAGCCAGCC